Molecule: long non-coding RNA, 573 nt
Filed under: Homo sapiens (human)
Lineage: Eukaryota; Metazoa; Chordata; Mammalia; Primates; Hominidae
Description: HSALNT0376103
Source: RNAcentral
AGCUUCCGGAGCAGCUGGGACUGCUGGCGCCCGCCACUACGCUCGGCUAAUUUUUUUGUGUUUUUAGUAGAGACGGGCUUUCACCGUGUUGGCCUAGCGGUUCUCCAACUCCUGACCUCAUGAUCCCCCCGCCUCAGCCUCCCAAAGUGCUGGGAUUACAAGCGUGAGCCACCGCGACCCGCCAACACUCUUGACAACAGUGCUGUGCUAAGAACUUGGGGGACUUCAAAAAGUUCACCAGUUCCUGUGUCCAUGGGUGAAAAGAUUUUCUACAUCUUUCCUUGACUAGAAACAGAAGUCCUGAAACAAGAAUAUAACGUCAGGAGGCCAGAGGCUUUGUCCUGCCUAAUGUGUUAUUUCCACACUGAAUAAAAGCACCUGAGUCCUGGUCUCAGAGUGAGAACAAUGUCUUCUAUGAUGAGUGGCAAACACAACAAGGCAUUUUAAAAAGGUUGUACAUCUAGCAAUACCUAACAAAAUAGGAAAUCAACUUGAGAAAAAGCAGCAAGGCCAAAUAAAUUGAUACAGAAGAAAUGUUUAGAUAUGUUUUUGCAAGUUUCUGCAUAUCUGAAA